AAGACCUUGCGCUUUUGGAGCGGCCGAUGUCUGAUUAGCUAGUUGGUAGGGUAAUGGCCUACCAAAGCUUCGAUCAGUAGCUGGUCUGAGAGGACGACCAGCCACACUGGGACUGAGACACGGCCCAGACUCCUACGGGAGGCAGCAGUGGGGAAUUUUGGACAAUGGGCGCAAGCCUGAUCCAGCCGUGCCGCGUGAGUGAAGAAGGCCUUCGGGUUGUAAAGCUCUUUCAGCCGGGAAGAAAAGGCUACGACGAAUAAUCGUAGCUCAUGACGGUACCGGAAGAAGAAGCACCGGCUAACUACGUGCCAGCAGCCGCGGUAAUACGUAGGGUGCGAGCGUUAAUCGGAAUUACUGGGCGUAAAGGGCGCGCAGGCGGUUUUGUAAGUCAGAUGUGAAAUCCCCGGGCUUAACCUGGGAACU
This 423-nucleotide ribosomal RNA is filed under the name uncultured bacterium. RNAcentral's name for it is "bacterial SSU rRNA". It matches the Rfam family "Bacterial small subunit ribosomal RNA", at positions 207 to 622 of the family's 1533-position model. The record is from RNAcentral.